UGGCUCAGAAUGAACGCUGGCGGCGUGCUUACACAUGCAAGUCGCACGAGAACACCUCAGCUUGCUGGGGUAAGUAAAGUGGCGCACGGGUGAGUAACGCGUGGGUAAUCUGCCCUCGAAUCUGGGAUAACCCCGCGAAAGCGGGGCUAAUACCGGAUAAAAUCCGGUUGGCUUCGGUGAACCGGAUCAAAGGUGGUCUCUUUAUAAAAGCUACCGUUUGGAGAUGAGCUCGCGUACCAUUAGCUAGUUGGUGAGGUAAAGGCUCACCAAGGCGACGAUGGUUAGCUGGUCUGAGAGGACGAUCAGCCACACCGGAACUGGAACACGGUCCGGACUCCUACGGGAGGCAGCAGUGAGGAAUUUUGCGCAAUGGGGGAAACCCUGACGCAGCAACGCCGCGUGAGUGAUGAAGGCUUUCGGGUCGUAAAGCUCUGUCAGGUGGGAAGAACCCACCAAGUGUUAAGACCACUUGGUGCUGACGGUACCACCGAAGGAAGCACCGGCUAACUCCGUGCCAGCAGCCGCGGUAAUACGGGGGGUGCGAGCGUUAUUCGGAAUCAUUGGGCGUAAAGGGCGCGCAGGCGGUUUUGUAAGUCAGAUGUGAAAUCCCGGGGCUUAACCCCGGAAGUGCAUAUGAAACUAUGAGACUUGAGUAUGGGAGAGGGAAGCGGAAUUCCUGGUGUAGCGGUGAAAUGCGUAGAUAUCAGGAGGAACACCGGUGGCGAAGGCGGCUUCCUGGACCAAUACUGACGCUGAGGCGCGAAGGCGUGGGGAGCGAACAGGAUUAGAUACCCUGGUAGUCCACGCAGUAAACGUUGAUCACUAGGUGUAGCGGGUAUUGACCCCUGGUGUGCCGGAGUUAACGCAUUAAGUGAUCCGGCUGGGGAGUACGAAUCGGCAGAUUAAGACUCCAAGGAAUUGACGGGGGCCCG
RNAcentral lists this ribosomal RNA (932 nucleotides) under uncultured organism. RNAcentral describes it as "bacterial SSU rRNA". It matches the Rfam family "Bacterial small subunit ribosomal RNA", at positions 20 to 923 of the family's 1533-position model. The record is from RNAcentral.